AAAGUACUUCCUCCGUCUCAAAAUUCUUGUCUUAGAUUUGUCUAGAUACGGAUGUAUCAGUAUUAGAUACAUAUGUAUUUAGACAAAUCUAAGACAAGAAUUUUGGAACGGAGGGAGUACCUC
This is a non-coding RNA of Triticum aestivum (bread wheat), 123 nucleotides long. NCBI's taxonomy places the organism in Eukaryota, Viridiplantae, Streptophyta, Magnoliopsida, Poales, Poaceae. The record is from Rfam.